AGUGAACGCUGGCGGUAGGCCUAACACAUGCAAGUCGAACGGCAGCACAGUAAGAGCUUGCUCUUACGGGUGGCGAGUGGCGGACGAGUGAGGAAUACAUCGGAAUCUACUUUUUCGUGGGGGAUAACGUAGGGAAAUUUACGCUAAUACCGCAUACGACCUACGGGUGAAAGCAGGGGAUCUUCGGACCUUGCGCGAUUGAAUGAGCCGAUGUCGGAUUAGCUAGUUGGCGGGGUAAAGGCCCACCAAGGCGACGAUCCGUAGCUGGUCUGAGAGGAUGAUCAGCCACACUGGAACUGAGACACGGUCCAGACUCCUACGGGAGGCAGCAGUGGGGAAUAUUGGACAAUGGGCGCAAGCCUGAUCCAGCCAUACCGCGUGGGUGAAGAAGGCCUUCGGGUUGUAAAGCCCUUUUGUUGGGAAAGAAAAGCAGCAGGUUAAUACCCCGCUGUUCUGACGGUACCCAAAGAAUAAGCACCGGCUAACUUCGUG
RNAcentral lists this ribosomal RNA (492 nucleotides) under uncultured bacterium. Its description in RNAcentral is "partial 16S ribosomal RNA". It matches the Rfam family "Bacterial small subunit ribosomal RNA", at positions 29 to 507 of the family's 1533-position model. The record is from RNAcentral.